AGCGUAGACGGCGACGCAAGUCUGAAGUGAAAUACCCGGGCUCAACCUGGGAACUGCUUUGGAAACUGUGUUGCUGGAGUGCUGGAGAGGUAAGCGGAAUUCCUAGUGUAGCGGUGAAAUGCGUAGAUAUUAGGAGGAACACCAGUGGCGAAGGCGGCUUACUGGACAGUAACUGACGUUGAGGCUCGAAAGCGUGGGGAGCAAACA
RNAcentral lists this ribosomal RNA (207 nucleotides) under uncultured bacterium. RNAcentral's name for it is "partial 16S ribosomal RNA". It matches the Rfam family "Bacterial small subunit ribosomal RNA", at positions 568 to 774 of the family's 1533-position model. The record is from RNAcentral.